GAUGACUUAGAGUUUAAACUGUCAACUCUUAACAGUACAUCCAUUAUGUGUCUCAACCUAAUAAAUCCUGUGACUCCUCACAAGAAUUGCCCCGGCCAAGGUCACACUAAAUUGAAACACAAAGCAUUCUCUCUAACCCUUUGGAGUAGUCAAUUCUAUCUUAACUUAUGCACCAACUUCACAAGUACUUGACUAUACCUAAAAACCUUCUGAUCCUGAAUUAAAAAUUUAAGUAGUCCGACACUAAAGCACAAUGAGUUGCUUGUAAAUCACCAUGGUGAUC
RNAcentral lists this long non-coding RNA (283 nucleotides) under Elaeis guineensis (African oil palm). RNAcentral's name for it is "long non-coding RNA (EGUI_LNC052655)". The record is from RNAcentral. Lineage: Eukaryota; Viridiplantae; Streptophyta; Magnoliopsida; Arecales; Arecaceae.